GUUAAAAUGAGUUCAUUAUGUAACUGAGUACUCUCAUUUUUCAGUUUAUUUUUUAAUUAUUUUCUCCUCUCCCCUUUCCCCCGGCUUAUGCCCCCAAAGCAUGCCUGCCUCAGAACCUUCACCCUCUAGGAGGGGUUGCCUUGGAACUCCCACCCACCAGGAGGGCAUGUCAAAAGCACGCCCACUUGGCCACUUUUAUAACUUCUGCCCAGGAAGGCACCAACUCAGCUACCCAGUAGUUAAGGCACUGGGCCAGCAGGGGGACCCCUCGCCCUUGCUCACUCCUUCCCCGGCCUUGGAUAAGUGCCUACUUUCUGCUCUGGGAGCAAAACGUCACAUGUAAAGGCAGGACUAACGUUCACGACUCUUCCCCAAGCUAGCUUCGGAAGAAACCGCUUUCUUUAUGCCAGACCUCGCUCUUGUUAAUUGGACUACGCAGGCAGCAAGCAACUAACCCUCUGUUUGGUGACGGUUAUGGAUGGGCGCCCUAAUCCGGCCCUGUUUUGUGUGAGGAUUCCCAGUGUCUAGCACAAUGCCUGGUACAUACCAUGUGUUUAAUACCUAGUUCUUAAAGGAAGAAGGAAGAGAGGAAGAGGAAGGAAAUUCUAUCCAAUAAAUGCUAUCUAGGAACAAUGUGGAUUUAUCUUUCUCUUUAGUUACUUAGGAGCUACAUUAGUAUCCUUAGAACUUGUGCUGGAGAGAUUAGUGUUGGCAGUUUAUUAUUUCGUUACCCUUCGAAACUGCAUGGGUAAUAACAGACUGUGGAUAGUCUCACAUGCUGUCUCCAAAUACUUUCUCCCUAAAACUAGAGCAUAUCCUCUUAAACACUGGCCUUGUUCGCCACCACCAUGGCCCAGAAGCAGGCCCAAUAAUCCUGGGGAGUGUUCCUGACUGGAACUCUGGGUCAGAAAGGAUAAAGAUGACUUAAUCUCGCAAUCCCACUUUCUACUCGGUUCUGAUACUCUUGAUGUACACAUGUUCCUCUGCUAGGUGCUUUUCAUUUUUUUGAGGGCCUUCAGUCUUCUGUUCAAGUGUGCAUGGUGCUUCUAAGCCUUCUCACUUAGUUUUGAAAUUAGCAUUCUACUCAGAAUAGAUAAAUGCUGCCAACUUGCAGUUCUUUUGCUUGGCCCAGAUUCCCUUAUAGUUUGCAGGUAAUUUUCAGGGUCUUCAGUAUGAGAUUAUUUUCAUUUCCUAGUUUCAACACAGAUGGUUUUCUCUUUACUUUUGGUUCAUUUCCGUGCAUUUUGGGGAAAGGAGAUAGAUAAAUGUGCACUUUUCAGCUACCUUUCUGGACAAUAUUAGCAUUUCCCCUUUACUUCUGAAUAUCCUUUGGACUCUCCUAUAUUGGAAAAAGAGGGUGAUUUAUGACUAUUUUAAUGGAAAACAAAAAUAAAUCUAUAGACAAGUUGUUAGAUAUAUUAAGAGUUUAACAAGGUGAAUAUUAUAACAGCUAUACCUUCACCCAGCUACCCUUGCUGGGCUCUAACUCGCUGUCUCUUUCUCUUGUUAUUGUUGUUGUUUUCCCCCAUGGGUGAGUUCUUUAUGGCAGUCUCCACCAUUUCCUCAUAAUCAUUUUCCUUUUGAUUUCUAUAUUCUGACAUCCAGUUCCCAUCAUACUGCGGCAGCUGAUCUCUCAAAAUAAAUUCAUUGAUUUUUUUUUUUAUAAUUGCAGUUACAUUUUUUCUCCUUUACUUUCCUUGCACACAGGACUGUAUUUGAUGCUGUUAAUUAACCCUUCUUUAAAACUUUGUUUUUUGUUUACUUCUGUUUCUUUACUGACUGUGUACAGUAAUCAGAAAAAUCAGAAAAAGACCUGAUUUUCUCUAAAUCAGGCCUUUUUCCCUCAAGGAUCUUUGUGGCCAUUUCCCCUGGUUUUCCUUGAGGAGAAAACUAUCUCUCUACAUCUCCCUCUUAACCCAACUUCCACUCCGCUAUUUUAAUAGUCUACUGGAUGCUACGGUGAACAAUUUAAAAGACAGAAGGACUGGGUGACAAACGUGAGGGAAUUUGGACUGAUGUCUGCAUGUCUGGCUUGAGUAACAGUAGGGACAGCAGUGCUGUUUCACAUAUACAAGGAACAUGAGGGAGAAAAGGGCUCAAGAGGAUCAUUUUGAUUACAACAAACAGGAACAAUGGAAACCACCUGACACCAGUCCCAAACCACCAGUGACAUUAGUCCAACCACUUUAAGAGAGUCUGAACUAGGUAGAAAGGCAAACUGAUAGAGGCUCUCGGGAAAGGAGUAACUACUGAGAAGUCAGCAAGAGAAAAAGUAACUUGACAACACUGUUUUCAAACCAUUGCAG
RNAcentral lists this long non-coding RNA (2306 nucleotides) under Homo sapiens (human). Its description in RNAcentral is "HSALNT0100303". Lineage: Eukaryota; Metazoa; Chordata; Mammalia; Primates; Hominidae. The record is from RNAcentral.